AAGACUGCAAGUCGAACGGCAAAACAAAUAGUUUACUAGGUGUUUCUUAGUGGCGGACGGGUUAGUAACACGUGAGUAACAUGCCUCAAAGUGGGGGAUAGCCUUCCGAAAGGAAGAUUAAUACCGCAUGUGAUCUUCGGAUCAAAGAUGCCUUCGGGUGUCGCUUUGAGAUUGGCUCGCGGCCUAUCAGCUAGUUGGUGAGGUAACGGCUCACCAAGGCAACGACGGGUAACUGUUCUGAGAGGAAGAUCAGCAACACUGGAACUGAGACACGGUCCAGACACCUACGGGUGGCAGCAGUCGAGAAUCAUUCACAAUGGACGAAACUCUGAUGCAGCAACGCCGCGUGGAGGAUGACACAUUUCGGUGCGUAAACUCCUUUUAUAUGUCAAGAUAAUGACGGUAGCAUAUGAAUAAGCACCGGCUAACUUCGUGCCAGCAGCCGCGGUAAUACGAGGGGUGCAAGCGUUACUCGGAAUCACUGGGCGUAAAGAGAAUGUAGGCGGGUAAUUAAGUUGGAAGUGAAAUCCUAUGGCUCAACCAUAGAACUGCUUCCAAAACUGAUUACCUANAGUAUGGGAGAGG
RNAcentral lists this ribosomal RNA (585 nucleotides) under uncultured bacterium. Its description in RNAcentral is "bacterial SSU rRNA". It matches the Rfam family "Bacterial small subunit ribosomal RNA", at positions 50 to 657 of the family's 1533-position model. The record is from RNAcentral.